Molecule: long non-coding RNA, 718 nt
Organism: Haliotis rubra (blacklip abalone)
Lineage: Eukaryota; Metazoa; Mollusca; Gastropoda; Lepetellida; Haliotidae
Exons: 3
Source: RefSeq, a predicted model, not a curated record
GUCCCAGGUGAUGUUCUCCUGGUGAUGUUCUACUAGGAUGUCCCAGGUGAUGUUCUCCUGGUGAUGUUCCACUAGGAUGUCCCAGGUGAUGUUCUCCUGGUGAUGUUCCCCUGGUGAUGUUCCACUAGGAUGUCCCAGGUGAUGUUCUCCUGGUGAUGUUCUACUAGGAUGUCCCAGGUGAUGUUCUACUGGUGAUGUUCCACUAGGAUGUCCCUGGUGAUGUUCUACUAGGAUGUCCCAGGUGAUGUUUUCCUGGUGAUGUUCCACUAGGAUGUCCCUAGUGAUGUUCUCCUGGUGAUGUUCUACUAAGAUGUCCCAGGUGAUGUUCUCCUGGUGAUGUUCUACUAGGAUUUCACAGGUGAUGUUCCACUAGGAUGUCCCUAGUGAUGUUCUCCUGGUGAUGUUCCACUAGGAUGUCCCAGGUGAUGUUCUCCUGGUGAUGUUCCACUGGGAUGUCCCUAGUGAUGUUCCACUAGAAUGUCCCUAGUGAUGUUCCACUAGGAUGUUCUUAUGAUGUCCCUAGUGAUGUUCUAGUAAUGUUCCAGAAUCAACCGAUUUGAGUGAUUUCUCCACGAUUGAUACCAUGUAAUCCUGGAUAUAUAUUUUCUCUAUAUUGUCUCUGUAAUGACGUAUUAGUUGCCUUAGAUUUUCUUCCUUAUAAUGCGCGUUCAGAGUGGCCGGGAACAUUUGAAUCUUCGGUGAAGUAAACAAUGUGUUC